This 1193-nucleotide ribosomal RNA is filed under the name Psettodes erumei (Indian spiny turbot). RNAcentral's name for it is "partial 16S ribosomal RNA". It matches the Rfam family "Bacterial large subunit ribosomal RNA", at positions 570 to 2558 of the family's 2925-position model. The record is from RNAcentral. Lineage: Eukaryota; Metazoa; Chordata; Actinopteri; Pleuronectiformes; Psettodidae.
GCAGAGAUUACCUCUUGUACCUUUUGCAUCAUGAUUUAGCCAGAAACCCCAAGCAAAGAGCACUUUAGUUUGACUCCCCGAAACUAGCGUGAGCUACUCCAAGACAGCCUAUCUAUAGGGCAAACCCGUCUCUGUGGCAAAAGAGUGGGAAGAGCUUUGAGUAGAGGUGACAAACCUACCGAACCUAGCAAUAGCUGGUUGCCUGAAAACUGGAUAUAAGUUCAGCCUCCCGGCUUCUCCAUACACCGCGGAGUUAGUCAAAGGGGGUACAGCCCCUUUGAACCAAACACAACUUUACCAGGGGGUAAAGAUCAAAAUAUACCAAGGAAUAUGUUCUGGGGGCCUAAAGCAGCCAUCCAAAUAAAAGCGUUCAAGCUCAACAUCCAAUCCCGAAACCCAAUCUUAUCCCCCUAAACUUACAGGCCGCCCCAUGCAACCAUGGGGGGUCCAUGCUAAUAUGAGUAAUAAGAGAGCCCUCUCUCCCCGCAUAAGUGUAAAUCGAAACGGACCCCCCAUCGAUAUUUAAACGGCCCCACACCAAGAGGGCAUUAGGAAGCAACAAGAAAAUCGCCUACCGUUAACCCCACACUGGUAUGCAUCUCGGGAAAGACAAAAGGAAAAAGAAGGAACUCGGCAAAUAAGCCUCGCCUGUUUACCAAAAACAUCGCCUCUUGCAAAAAUAAGAGGUCCAACCUGCCCAGUGACCAUGUGUUUAACGGCCGCAGUAUUUUGACUGUGCGAAGGUAGCGUAAUCACUUGUCUUUUAAAUGGAGACCUGUAUGAACGGUAAAACGAGGGCUUAACUGUCUCCUUUUUCUAGUCAAUGAAAUUGAUCUCCCCGUGCAGAAGCGGGGAUACAUACAUAAGACGAGAAGACCCUGUGGAGCUUUAGACGCCAGAGCAGACCAUGUUAAACACCCCGAACUAAAGGAAUAAACUGAUUGAAUACUGCUCCCAUGUCUUCGGUUGGGGCGACCGUGAGGAAAUUAAAAAACCCUCCACGUGGAAUGGGAGCACUCCCACAACUAAGAGCCACAGUUCUAAGCAACAGAAUAUCUGACCAAUAGAGAUCCGGCAAAGCCGAUUAACGAACCAAGUUACCCCAGGGAUAACAGCGCAAUCCCCUUCUAGAGCCCAUAUCGACAAGGGGGUUUACGACCUCGAUGUUGGAUCAGGACAUCCUAAUGGCGCAG